UUUAAGGGCCGCGGUAUNCUGACUGUGCGAAGGUAGCAUAAUCAUUAGGUUUUUAAUUGGGAUCUUGUAUGAAUGAUUGGACAAAAGAAAUACUGUCUUUAUAUUAAAAUUUGAAUUUAACUUUUAAGUGAAAAGGCUUAAAUGUUCUAAAGGGACGAUAAGACCCUAUAAAGCUUUACAUUAAUAAUUAAGAUAUUAUUUAUUUUUUUAAUAACAAUUAUAUUAGUUUUUUUGUUGUAUUGGGGAGAUAUAAGCUAUAAUUUAUAUUAACUGCUUAAGAAAAAACCAAUAAAUUAAUGAGAGAUUAGUAGAUCCUUUUUAAAGAUUAAAAGAUUAAGUUACUUUAGGGAUAACAGCGUUAUUUUUUUUAAGAGUUCAUAUCGAAAAAAAAGAUUGCGACCUCGAUGUUGAAUUAAAAUAUCUUUAUAAUGUAGGUGUUAUAUAAGAAGGUCUGUUCGACCUUUAAUUUUUUACGUGAUC
This 480-nucleotide ribosomal RNA is filed under the name Acanthothelphusa lirrangensis. RNAcentral's name for it is "Potamonautes lirrangensis partial 16S ribosomal RNA". It matches the Rfam family "Bacterial large subunit ribosomal RNA", at positions 1923 to 2605 of the family's 2925-position model. The record is from RNAcentral. Lineage: Eukaryota; Metazoa; Arthropoda; Malacostraca; Decapoda; Potamonautidae.